GUGAAUCAUCGAAUUUUUGAACGCAAAUUGCACUCUCCUCGAUGCGUAUGCCUGUUUGAGGGUCAGCCUAAAAAAAAUCGACAUCGUUGCUGUUUCGCGGUGACGUUCGUCGGAAAUUGGGCCAUCUUAUACCUUUUGGUUUUUAUGCGACUUCAAAUCUCAUUUUAAUCGAAUGACGUUUUAAUAGUAUUUCGCGUUAUCA
Molecule: unclassified non-coding RNA, 202 nt
Filed under: Glomus sp.
Lineage: Eukaryota; Fungi; Glomeromycota; Glomeromycetes; Glomerales; Glomeraceae
Description: partial contains 5.8S ribosomal RNA and internal transcribed spacer 2
Source: RNAcentral